Molecule: unclassified non-coding RNA, 238 nt
Filed under: Glomeraceae sp.
Lineage: Eukaryota; Fungi; Glomeromycota; Glomeromycetes; Glomerales; Glomeraceae
Description: partial contains 5.8S ribosomal RNA and internal transcribed spacer 2
Rfam family: 5.8S ribosomal RNA (bases 1-71)
Source: RNAcentral
GUGAAUCAUCAAAUCUUUGAACGCAAAUUGCACUUUCUGGUAUUCCGGAAAGUAUGCCUGUUUGAGGGUCAGUUAUAUAAAAAUCGGUGUUGUUGCUGUCUUUCGUGGUGACGCGUCGUAAUUGAGUUGUCUUACCUUCGGCUAUGUGACUUAAAAUUUUGCAUGAUUUUCGAACGUAUUUUAAUUGCUUACGUACGUUUGAGAUAUCGAAUAUUUGAUUAGGUUCGAUCAUUUUCAU